CGCCCGGCCUUUUUGAGAUUUUUAUUUCUCUUUAUUUGGAUGUUGUGGUAGGUUUGAAUAUGUUAGGCCCAGGGAGUGGCACUGUUAGGAGGUGUGACCUUGUUGGAGUAGGUGUGGCCUUGUUAUGUCAUUAUGGGGGUGAACUUUGAGAUCCUCUUUCUAGUUGCCUGGAAACAGUCUGCUCUUGGCUUCCUUUGGAUGAAGAUGUAGAACUCUUGGGUCCUCCUGCACCAUGUCUGCCUGGAGGCUGCUGUGUUUCCUGCCAUGAUGAUGAUGGACUGAAGCGCUCUGAAACUGUUUCAAGUCCCCCUUCCAGUGGACUGUAUUGCUUCAGAAUAGAUACCAAGAAGUAAGGGUUGAAGGAAGAGCAAUAUAUGUGCUUAGAACUUCAGCUUGGGUUUAGACAUGUUUCAGUAGUUCCUAAAAGUUGGAUUGAAGGAUGACAGAAGCCAUCUUGAUACUCAAUAUUUUUUCCCUAAAUAAAUCAUGACUUUGAGUUAGGGAACAAAGAGAGAAUAAUGUAUUUUCUUAAUUAUUGACUCAUGUGAUGUGGCCUAAUAGAGUCAUAUCUAAUUACGGAAAACCCCACAACUUCAAUGUAGUAGCUGAAGAAGAUUCCAAGGAUACUUGGUACACUGAGCCUAAGGACACAAGUGCUGCUGCCUAAGCUCAUGUGUGGACAUUACAGAAUGGGAAAAUGACACUUCUCUGACAAUCUGGAAUAUGAUAUUGGAUGACAGUACCUUUAGUAGCCCUGCAGUAAUCUCAUGGUAGGUACCAGCAAUGUGGCAAGAGCUAGAAAUUGAAGGGAGCAAAGUUGUUGGGCAAAGCAGGAGGAGAAAAAUGUCAUACAUUGUAAGUGUCAUUGCAGAAGAUAAAAAUAUCAUGGACACAUGAGUAUGUCUAAUAUCCUCACUGGAAUGCUAUAUAUGUGUUCAGUAUGUCUAAGAAUCAAAGCAAAACAUAGCAAUCAUCUGUUUGGGAGAGAUUAUCAAUGCCAUCCCACUGAUGGUAUGAGAAGUCAUGUCUUCGGCAGUCAGCUGGCUGAAAUUAAAGGCCACAUCACCAAAAUGAGAAAAUUUGAUGAAAAUGAUGGUAUAAUACCUGAGGCAAAACCACUCCCCCUAAUUACGUCAACAUGCCAGUCCAAUCAG
Mastomys coucha (southern multimammate mouse) is the source of this 1154-nucleotide long non-coding RNA. RefSeq lists it as uncharacterized. The record is from RefSeq and is a predicted model, not a curated record. Lineage: Eukaryota; Metazoa; Chordata; Mammalia; Rodentia; Muridae. The transcript is spliced from 4 exons.